Long non-coding RNA from Symsagittifera roscoffensis, 1493 nucleotides. RefSeq lists it as uncharacterized. Lineage: Eukaryota; Metazoa; Xenacoelomorpha; Acoela; Convolutidae. The transcript has 3 exons. The record is from RefSeq and is a predicted model, not a curated record.
UUUAAGAGGUGGCUCAAAGACAGAUUGACUGGUUCAAUAUCUCGAAUCUCGAUUUUCCAUAUUGGAUUAAGAAAGUUACACAGAACCGUGGGCGCUAUAGGCUACAUAACAUACACUUCAUAGAAGUUUUCGAACCAAACUCUUCUUCAAAUCAGAAUCAAAAUGUGCCAUUUAACUCGGCAAAGUGGUGCUUCGAAAUGUGUUCUCACUUUUCUAUUCUGAAGUUGUACUUGGAGAUAAAUUGAAAAAUUACCUUUCAUUCUGAAUUCACAAACCAUUACUGUUCGAAAAGUUAAUUACAUGUGUGAGGUUCUGACGAAAUGGGCAUAUUCUGAAACCAGGUGAAAAAACUAUGCAGAUUAACGCUUGAACAGUUUUUAUGAAUGAACAGCAGAAAAACUUUACUUUGGUAAUCACUCGAUUUUUCUGUACAGAUAUUAUUGAAAGCUAAGAGUUGAAAAUGAAAAAGUCGACUCAAGGCGUAAUCUUUCUUCUGAUCAAUGCAUUUUCGAUUUCGAGUGCCAGUCUGCUAUUUGUUACAUCCGGCAGAGAACCCGCACAGAUCAUUACAUGGGUAGGACUAUUCGGAGCUCCACUUAGCCUCACGUUGCUUUCGACCGAAAAAUCCUUCAAUCCCGUCAAGUUAUGUAAAAUGAAACAGUUUUAUUUAAGUAUUCUCAGCGCUUCGUUAUUUGGAAGUAUUGCGAUUGGAUUUCAUUUUUGGUCUCUGGAGUUUAUUUUGCCCUCUGAUAAUAAUAUGGUCGGAGUUUUCUUCUCACUUUUUACCUCAGUCAUUUUGCAGUCGUUCGAAGACCGAAAACGGCCCACGCUUUUAACAAUUGUUUCCGUCUUUUUCGGAUUUAUCGGGACCGUCGUAAUAUGCGACCCGAGAACACUUUUCACCGACAGAAUCCUCGAUUUCCGAACGAUUAAAGGAGUCACGAUUUGCGCAAUCAGUGGAACAUGUUUUGCUUGUUUGUAUUCAAAUAUCCGACGUUUCCCAAAAAUGCCACCUGAGUGGACUUGUUUAUGGCUCAUGGUCGGCAAUAUUUCGUUCGGCAUGAUUUCAUACCGCCCCCUUGCGGCUGAUUACCAGACAUGCUCAAAACUAGCCAUGAUUCUAUCAGCAGGCUCUUCAAUACUGCAAGCACUCGCAUCUAUAUUUGGCUUAAAAGGAACAAUGCAUACGACAGUUACUGCGCUUUCGGUCAUACAACUCUUGGCUCCAGUUUUCAGCUUCUUCGUCCAGAUAUUCAUUCUACCAGAAGGAGUCUCAUGGACUUCGGCGGUCGGAAUUAUUUUUGUCGUUUUAGCUGUUCUGACCCAACUGAAGGUUUUACGCAGAAGAGAAGAAAUUAUGAUCAAAGAGAAACUAAGUUUUGAGUUACAACAAAUUAAUUCUCGGAAUUGAAAAGGAUCAAGCUGUUUGCUACCAAAUUUGUAAAUUUAUAAUAGUCUCAUAGUACAAUUAUCUAUAAAUUGAUAAAUUGAAC